UACGAAGGGGGCUAGCGUUGCUCGGAAUCACUGGGCGUAAAGGGCGCGUAGGCGGCGUUUUAAGUCGGGGGUGAAAGCCUGUGGCUCAACCACAGAAUGGCCUUCGAUACUGGGACGCUUGAGUAUGGUAGAGGUUGGUGGAACUGCGAGUGUAGAGGUGAAAUUCGUAGAUAUUCGCAAGAACACCGGUGGCGAACGGCGGCCAACUGGACCAUUACUGACGCUGAGGCGCGAAAGCG
Molecule: ribosomal RNA, 239 nt
Filed under: uncultured bacterium
Lineage: Bacteria
Description: partial 16S ribosomal RNA
Rfam family: Bacterial small subunit ribosomal RNA
Source: RNAcentral